This 496-nucleotide ribosomal RNA is filed under the name uncultured bacterium. RNAcentral's name for it is "bacterial SSU rRNA". It matches the Rfam family "Bacterial small subunit ribosomal RNA", at positions 29 to 515 of the family's 1533-position model. The record is from RNAcentral.
AACAAACGCUGGCGGCGUGUCUUAAGCAUGCAAGUUGAGCGGCAAGGAGGAGAGAUCCUCCCUAGAGUGGCGAACGGGUGAGUAACACGUAGGAAUCUACCCUUAAGACGGGGACAACCCAGGGAAACUUGGGCUAAUACCGGAUGAGAGUGCGAGAGAUUGCAUUUAAAAGGAUGGCGAAAGUUGUCGCUUAGGGAUGAGCCUGCGGUCUAUUAGUUAGUUGGUGAGGUAAGAGCUCACCAAGGCGAUGAUAGAUAGGCGGCCUUAACGGGUGGUCGCCCACACUGGGAUUGAGAUACGGCCCAGACUCCUACGGGAGGCAGCAGUCGAGAAUAGUCUACAAUGGCCGGAAGGCUGAUAGUGCGACGCCGCGUGAACGAGGGAGCCCUUCGGGGUGUAAAGUUCUUUUAUAUGUGAGCAGUGCUUCUUAUAUUAACAGUAUGGGGAGAGAGAUAUUAGCAUAUGAAUAAGCAACGGCUAACUCCGUGCCAGCACG